This 253-nucleotide ribosomal RNA is filed under the name uncultured bacterium. Its description in RNAcentral is "partial 16S ribosomal RNA". It matches the Rfam family "Bacterial small subunit ribosomal RNA", at positions 524 to 776 of the family's 1533-position model. The record is from RNAcentral.
UACGGAGGGUGCAAGCGUUAUCCGGAUUCACUGGGUUUAAAGGGUGCGUAGGUGGGCAGGUAAGUCAGGGGUGAAAUCUCUGGGCUUAACCCGGAAACUGCCGUUGAUACUAUCUGUCUUGAAUAUAGUGGAGGUGAGCGGAAUAUGUCAUGUAGCGGUGAAAUGCUUAGAUAUGACAUAGAACAUCGAUUGCGAAGGCAGCUCGCUACACUAUGAUUGACACUGAGGCACGAAAGCGUGGGGAUCAAACAGG